AUACGGAGGGUGCAAGCGUUAUUCGGAAUCACUGGGCGUAAAGGACGCGUAGGCGGGUUGGCAAGUCAGAUGUGAAAUCCUACAGCUUAACUGUAGAACUGCAUUUGAAACUGCUAACCUAGAGUAUGGGAGGGGGAGAUGGAAUUAGUGGUGUAGGGGUAAAAUCCGUAGAUAUCACCAGGAAUACCGAAAGAGAAGGCGAUCUCCUGGAACAUAACUGACGCUAAGGCGUGAAAGCGUGGGGAGCAAACAGGAUUAGAAACCCCAGUAGUCC
RNAcentral lists this ribosomal RNA (274 nucleotides) under uncultured bacterium. RNAcentral describes it as "partial 16S ribosomal RNA". It matches the Rfam family "Bacterial small subunit ribosomal RNA", at positions 523 to 796 of the family's 1533-position model. The record is from RNAcentral.